UUAAGGGCGCACGGUGGAUGCCUUGGCACUAGAAGCCGAUGAAGGACGUUACUAACGACGAUAUGCUUUGGGGAGCUGUAAGUAAGCUUUGAUCCAGAGAUUUCCGAAUGGGGAAACCCAGCAUGAGUUAUGUCAUGUUAUCGAUAUGUGAAUACAUAGCAUAUCAGAAGGCACACCCGGAGAACUGAAACAUCUUAGUACCCGGAGGAAGAGAAAGAAAAUUCGAUUCCCUUAGUAGCGGCGAGCGAAACGGGAAGAGCCCAAACCAACAAGCUUGCUUGUUGGGGUUGUAGGACACUCUAUACGGAGUUACAAAGGACGACAUUAGACGAAUCAUCUGGAAAGAUGAAUCAAAGAAGGUAAUAAUCCUGUAGUCGAAAAUGUUGUCUCUCUUGAGUGGAUCCUGAGUACGACGGAGCACGUGAAAUUCCGUCGGAAUCUGGGAGGACCAUCUCCUAAGGCUAAAUACUCUCUAGUGACCGAUAGUGAACCAGUACCGUGAGGGAAAGGUGAAAAGCACCCCGGAAGGGGAGUGAAAUAGAACCUGAAACCGUGUGCUUACAAGUAGUCAGAGCCCGUUAAUGGGUGAUGGCGUGCCUUUUGUAGAAUGAACCGGCGAGUUACGAUUUGAUGCAAGGUUAAGCAGUAAAUGUGGAGCCGUAGCGAAAGCGAGUCUGAAUAGGGCGUUUAGUAUUUGGUCGUAGACCCGAAACCAGGUGAUCUACCCUUGGUCAGGUUGAAGUUCAGGUAACACUGAAUGGAGGACCGAACCGACUUACGUUGAAAAGUGAGCGGAUGAACUGAGGGUAGCGGAGAAAUUCCAAUCGAACCUGGAGAUAGCUGGUUCUCUCCGAAAUAGCUUUAGGGCUAGCCUCAAGUGAUGAUUAUUGGAGGUAGAGCACUGUUUGGACGAGGGGCCCCUCUCGGGUUACCGAAUUCAGACAAACUCCGAAUGCCAAUUAAUUUAACUUGGGAGUCAGAACAUGGGUGAUAAGGUCCGUGUUCGAAAGGGAAACAGCCCAGACCACCAGCUAAGGUCCCAAAAUAUAUGUUAAGUGGAAAAGGAUGUGGCGUUGCCCAGACAACUAGGAUGUUGGCUUAGAAGCAGCCAUCAUUUAAAGAGUGCGUAAUAGCUCACUAGUCGAGUGACACUGCGCCGAAAAUGUACCGGGGCUAAACAUAUUACCGAAGCUGUGGAUUGUCCUUUGGACAAUGGUAGGAGAGCGUUCUAAGGGCGUUGAAGCAUGAUCGUAAGGACAUGUGGAGCGCUUAGAAGUGAGAAUGCCGGUGUGAGUAGCGAAAGACGGGUGAGAAUCCCGUCCACCGAUUGACUAAGGUUUCCAGAGGAAGGCUCGUCCGCUCUGGGUUAGUCGGGUCCUAAGCUGAGGCCGACAGGCGUAGGCGAUGGAUAACAGGUUGAUAUUCCUGUACCACCUAUAAUCGUUUUAAUCGAUGGGGGGACGCAGUAGGAUAGGCGAAGCGUGCGAUUGGAUUGCACGUCUAAGCAGUAAGGCUGAGUAUUAGGCAAAUCCGGUACUCGUUAAGGCUGAGCUGUGAUGGGGAGAAGACAUUGAGUCUUCGAGUCGUUGAUUUCACACUGCCGAGAAAAGCCUCUAGAUAGAAAAUAGGUGCCCGUACCGCAAACCGACACAGGUAGUCAAGAUGAGAAUUCUAAGGUGAGCGAGCGAACUCUCGUUAAGGAACUCGGCAAAAUGACCCCGUAACUUCGGGAGAAGGGGUGCUCUUUAGGGUUAACGCCCAGAAGAGCCGCAGUGAAUAGGCCCAAGCGACUGUUUAUCAAAAACACAGGUCUCUGCUAAACCGUAAGGUGAUGUAUAGGGGCUGACGCCUGCCCGGUGCUGGAAGGUUAAGAGGAGUGGUUAGCUUCUGCGAAGCUACGAAUCGAAGCCCCAGUAAACGGCGGCCGUAACUAUAACGGUCCUAAGGUAGCGAAAUUCCUUGUCGGGUAAGUUCCGACCCGCACGAAAGGCGUAACGAUUUGGGCACUGUCUCAACGAGAGACUCGGUGAAAUCAUAGUACCUGUGAAGAUGCAGGUUACCCGCGACAGGACGGAAAGACCCCGUGGAGCUUUACUGUAGCCUGAUAUUGAAAUUCGGCACAGCUUGUACAGGAUAGGUAGGAGCCUUUGAAACGUGAGCGCUAGCUUACGUGGAGGCGCUGGUGGGAUACUACCCUAGCUGUGUUGGCUUUCUAACCCGCACCACUUAUCGUGGUGGGAGACAGUGUCAGGCGGGCAGUUUGACUGGGGCGGUCGCCUCCUAAAAGGUAACGGAGGCGCUCAAAGGUUCCCUCAGAAUGGUUGGAAAUCAUUCAUAGAGUGUAAAGGCAUAAGGGAGCUUGACUGCGAGACCUACAAGUCGAGCAGGGUCGAAAGACGGACUUAGUGAUCCGGUGGUUCCGCAUGGAAGGGCCAUCGCUCAACGGAUAAAAGCUACCCCGGGGAUAACAGGCUUAUCUCCCCCAAGAGUUCACAUCGACGGGGAGGUUUGGCACCUCGAUGUCGGCUCAUCGCAUCCUGGGGCUGUAGUCGGUCCCAAGGGUUGGGCUGUUCGCCCAUUAAAGCGGUACGCGAGCUGGGUUCAGAACGUCGUGAGACAGUUCGGUCCCUAUCCGUCGUGGGCGUAGGAAAUUUGAGAGGAGCUGUCCUUAGUACGAGAGGACCGGGAUGGACAUACCUCUGGUGUACCAGUUGUCGUGCCAACGGCAUAGCUGGGUAGCUAUGUGUGGACGGGAUAAGUGCUGAAAGCAUCUAAGCAUGAAGCCCCCCUCAAGAUGAGAUUUCCCAACUUCGGUUAUAAGAUCCCUCAAAGAUGAUGAGGUUAAUAGGUUCGAGGUGGAAGCAUGGUGACAUGUGGAGCUGACGAAUACUAAUCGAUCGAAGACUUAAUC
RNAcentral lists this ribosomal RNA (2911 nucleotides) under Staphylococcus aureus. RNAcentral's name for it is "bacterial LSU rRNA". It matches the Rfam family "Bacterial large subunit ribosomal RNA". The record is from RNAcentral. RNAcentral also lists the same sequence under 1 other name. Lineage: Bacteria; Bacillati; Bacillota; Bacilli; Caryophanales; Staphylococcaceae.